AGAAUCAACGCUGGCGGCGUGCCUAACACAUGCAAGUCGCACGAGAAAGGGGAGCAAUCCCUGAGUACAGUGGCGCACGGGUGAGUAACACGUGAAUAAUCUACCUCCGAGUGGGGAAUAACUGAGAGAAAUCUUAGCUAAUACCGCAUAACACUUACGAGUCAAAGCAGCAAUGCGCUUGGAGAGGAGUCCGCGGCCGAUUAGUUAGUUGGCGGGGUAAUGGCCCACCAAGACGAUGAUCGGUA
Molecule: ribosomal RNA, 245 nt
Filed under: uncultured bacterium
Lineage: Bacteria
Description: partial small subunit ribosomal RNA
Rfam family: Bacterial small subunit ribosomal RNA
Source: RNAcentral